GAUGAAGAACGUAGCGAAAUGCGAUAAGUAAUGUGAAUUGCAGAAUUCAGUGAAUCAUCGAGUCUUUGAACGCACAUUGCGCCCCCUGGUAUUCCGGGGGGCAUGCCUGUCCGAGCGUCAUUGCUGCCCUCAAGCCCGGCUUGUGUGUUGGGUCUCGUCCCCCUUCCCGGGGGGACGGGCCCGAAAGGCAGCGGCGGCACCGCGUCCGGUCCUCGAGCGUAUGGGGCUUUGUCACCCGCUCUGUAGGCCCGGCCGGCGCUUGCCGAUCAACCAAAACUUUUUUCCAGGUUGACCUCGGAUCAGGUAGGGAUACCCGCUGAACUUAAGCAUAUCAAUAAGCGGAGGA
This 346-nucleotide unclassified non-coding RNA is filed under the name soil metagenome. RNAcentral describes it as "partial contains 5.8S ribosomal RNA, internal transcribed spacer 2, and large subunit ribosomal RNA". The stretch from base 1 to 120 matches the Rfam family "5.8S ribosomal RNA", at positions 35 to 154 of the family's 154-position model. The record is from RNAcentral.